UUACGGCCACAUGAUGUUGAAACACCGGUUCACGUAAGAUCACCGAAAUUAAGCAACCUCGAGCCUGGUCAGUACCUAGAUGAGUGACCUCUUAGGAAUACUAGAUGC
This is a non-coding RNA of Acanthosepion pharaonis, 108 nucleotides long. NCBI's taxonomy places the organism in Eukaryota, Metazoa, Mollusca, Cephalopoda, Sepiida, Sepiidae. The record is from the annotation of a GenBank genome assembly.